UUUUAUGGAGAGUUUGAUCCUGGCUCAGGAUGAACGCUGGCGGCGUGCCUAAUACAUGCAAGUCGAGCGAACGGACGAGAAGCUUGCUUCUCUGAUGUUAGCGGCGGACGGGUGAGUAACACGUGGAUAACCUACCUAUAAGACUGGGAUAACUUCGGGAAACCGGAGCUAAUACCGGAUAAUAUUUUGAACCGCAUGGUUCAAAAGUGAAAGACGGUCUUGCUGUCACUUAUAGAUGGAUCCGCGCUGCAUUAGCUAGUUGGUAAGGUAACGGCUUACCAAGGGAACGAUGCAU
This 295-nucleotide ribosomal RNA is filed under the name Staphylococcus aureus. RNAcentral describes it as "partial 16S ribosomal RNA". It matches the Rfam family "Bacterial small subunit ribosomal RNA", at positions 1 to 284 of the family's 1533-position model. The record is from RNAcentral. Lineage: Bacteria; Bacillati; Bacillota; Bacilli; Caryophanales; Staphylococcaceae.